GAUGAACGCUGGCGGCAUGCCUAAUACAUGCAAGUCGAACGAGAGACCUUCGGGUCUCUAGUGGCGAACGGGUGAGUAACACGUAGGGAACCUGCCCGCGCACCGGGAAUACGCUCUGGAAACGGAGAACAAAUCCCGAUGUACAGGAAGGAGGCAUCUUCUUUCUGUGAAACAUCCUUUCGGGGAUGGGGCGCGGAUGGACCUGCGGUGCAUUAGUUGGUUGGCGGGGUAAAGGCCCACCAAGACGAUGAUGCAUAGCCGGCCUGAGAGGGCGGACGGCCACAUUGGGACUGAGACACGGCCCAA
Molecule: ribosomal RNA, 306 nt
Filed under: uncultured bacterium
Lineage: Bacteria
Description: bacterial SSU rRNA
Rfam family: Bacterial small subunit ribosomal RNA
Source: RNAcentral